Molecule: long non-coding RNA, 3101 nt
Organism: Lytechinus pictus (painted urchin)
Lineage: Eukaryota; Metazoa; Echinodermata; Echinoidea; Temnopleuroida; Toxopneustidae
Exons: 3
Source: RefSeq, a predicted model, not a curated record
AAUUUCGCGAAAUAUAAUGUAAACUUUACGGAUCCUCCGCGAACGAAAAGAUGGGGAGAAAAGCGAACAAAGGCAGUCAUAAUCAACCGAAUUUAGUCUCUUCUGCAUAGCUGGGUGAGAUAAAAGAAAGAAAUCAAUGAAUUCAAGAAAAGAUGGAAAUGUCUUGUCGGCGCAAGCAGAAAUCUCCACGCAGAUUAUCAGAAGACCUUGAAGACAAGCCUACAGAACAAGCUGAAGAACAAAUGAAUCAAACAGAUAAUUCUAUUCCAGAAACCAAAUCUUCCCUGUGCCAUCUAUGCAAUUAUGAGUUUUCUGGGCCCGGACAGCUUGCGAUUCAUCUGAGAUAUGUACACCAGCAGAUAGCCCAAAUUUCACCCAAGGUCAAGAAGGGGUCAGAGGGUCAAAGGUCAACUGAGAAAGGAGGAGAAAAGGGCAGCAGACAUGAGUCAGAUUGUCAGCACAGCAGAUCGAGUCCUCUACAAGGUAAGUUUAUAAGAUUGAUGGAGACACCAUUCCAUGAAACAAAUGUUCAGUGAUUUUCACUGAUUAUCUGUUAUAAGCUACUGAAAUCCUUGCGUCUGAUUGGCUGAGAGCAAAGUUUGUUUAAAAUCACUGAGAAGAUGCUUCAUGAAACAGUUCCCUAUUAAUUCCCAGGCAUUUGGGGCCGUCGUGGUCUAGUGGUUAAGACCCAUCUUUCAAUCUGAGAGACGUGGGUUCGAUUCCAAGCCAAGUUGUGUUUUCCUUCAGCAAGAAAUUUACCCACAUUGUGCUCCACUCAACCCAGGUGAGGUGAAUGGGUACCAGCAGGAAGUACAUUUAAUUCCUCAAAAAGCUGCGAGCACCGGAAUCGGUAGACUAGCUUAGCUGUGGUAAUAUAGGAGCCCCUUAAGCACCUAAGAAGGUGGAUAUGUGCGCUAUAUAAAUCCUAUAUUAUUUCUAUUUAUUUAGUUGCUGCCUAUUUCCAGUGGGUUAGAGUGAUAGUCCAGGCUCCCACUUCAUGAAGAUUUACCAUGUGUGUGGAAACCUUGAUUGUGUAGGGCUGCUUAGCCCUGUUACCAUGGUAAUUGCCUUAAGUUACCAUGGUUGUACAAUUAAGUCUUUAUGAAACCAUUUCAAGUAUGUAGGAUGGGUGAAAUACAACAUCUUUUUCAAAUUCUAUGUUUUUAGAGCGUACUAGGGACAGUGAUUUUCCGUUUCUUUUUCAGAAAUCUGAAAUUCCGUUUCAGCAUGUCUGAAAACGGAAAUUCCGUUUCCCCAUAGACUUUGUGUACAUGAAAAAGUGACAACUCGAUUUACAUAGAAAAAAUCAAUACACAAUGGGUUGCGAUGUCAAAAUGCUCACGCUGGUCAAACUUUGUAUCUAUCACUGUACUAACAACGCUUUAAAAUCAAUUUUAAUCGAAGAGAUUUGAGUGUAAAAACUAUUUCAAGAAACAUAAUUAACAUAAGUUCUUCCUCACCUUUUACAUUAUUAGCAUUAUUUUAUGGUUAAAUGAGAUUUUAUUGCUGAUUUGGGGGACUUUUUGGACAUUGUUUUGAGCAGUCUACGACUUUCGCAUGUCCGCCAUGUUGGAUUUGUUGAAUGUACCGCGAUCAUGAUAUGACCGAACGCAGAGGGCAGCAACACACGGCUGUGUUUCUGCCUUUAUAUGCGGACGUGAGUGUAAACCAAUUUCGAUAGGAUCGAGUGAUGGAGGGCCUCGAGUGCUGCAGUCAUGAUGUGUGGAUUGUCAGGAUUGUUGUAGCGAAGUGAGAUUGUGUUUUUUCUAGUUGAUAUUCAUAUUUCGUUGAGGAUUUGGGAGUAAUUUUUGUUGCUAUUGUGUAUUUUGAGAAAAAGUGUUUUCCGUGAUUUUCCGUUUGAAAAGCCACUUUCUGUUUCAAAAGGCCGAUUCCGUGAAUUCCGUCUGUUUUCCGUGAUCGCGGAAAAUCACUGUCCCUAGCGUACACAACUUUGUUUUUGUAUCUUUUCAUAGUCUUUUUUUAAAUAAAAAUCUUCAAGAGUUGGUUGACCGUUUGUGCGUAGUCCCAUUCAUUGAAUCCUCUGAGAGCUGCUUGUAUCUCUGAGUGACGCCUGACUUGCAGCACUAGUAAAUUAUGGAUUGAUAAAGAAUUUAUUCUGUUGAAAUUAGACUUGAAAAGAGUGAAAGUUGACAUUUUUAAAAACAAACAUGACAAAAUUUAAUAUCCACUCGCUCAAGAUUGCGGAUUUAAUGGUGCUUGACAUAACAACAAAUUUGGCUCAGUAUUUUCAAUGGAGGUGGGAGUAGGGUGAGGACAGGAAAUUUGUGAUUUUCUUGAGUUUACUGACAGAAUAAUUGUGAGUGUAGUAGUGUAUGUGGAUAGUGUUGGUGGUGGUGGGUGGGGGGGGGGGCUCUCACUCCCCUAAAGCUUGCAAUCUGUCUCACCAAAAAUCUACCAAAACAUACAAUCACAAAUAUUUUAUACACACUUCACUGAAAAUCUUACAAGGGAAACUUAUAGGGGUACUCCAGGCUGAAAAUAACAUGAUGUGAACACUUCAGACAAACAAAACAAUUAAAUUUUGACCAAAAUCGGACAAGGAAUAACAAAGUUAUGACAUUACAUAGAUUUGCAUUAUUUCAGUGAAACUUGCAUAUCUUCAUGAAUAUUCAAUGAGCAAACUGAUGAGGUCAUAUUUUUUCCCCCCAAGAACCCCCCCCCCCAAAAAAAAAAAUGGUUUGACAAUUGAAUAAUGCAAUAGACAUUCAUUGCCGCAACUUAUUUUAUCAUAAGGGAGACAUAUAAUUCACACAUAUACAUAUGAAAAAAAUGAAAAAGUUAUGAUUUCGUGUAAUAACAUUUGAAGAAGGAAAGUGGGGAAAUUGUGACAUCAUCAGCCCACCUAAUGACUAUUCAUGAUGACGUGCAUAAUUAAACUGCUCACAAACUAUUGCUAAAUUUUAAUUUUAAUUCAAUAACUUCACAAUUUGUUUUCCAAUUUCGAUGUAAGUUUCAGCAUUUUGCUUUGCGAAUUUUAGAUGUAAUUAUUUUAGGCCCGGAGUACCCCAUUAAUGAAAAGGGAAGCUUACAGUUUACAGUUCAGAUGAUAGGAGGGGGGGGGGGGGGGUGAGGGCAUACUC